CCUACGGGCGAGCAGCAGUGAGGAAUAUUGGUCAAUGGCCGGGAGGCUGAACCAGCCAAGUCGCGUGAGGGAAGACGGCCCUACGGGUUGUAAACCUCUUUUGUCAGGGAGCAAGGUGCAGGUCGGGACCUGCUGUGAGAGUACCUGAAGAAAAAGCAUCGGCUAACUCCGUGCCAGCAGCCGCGGUAAUACGUAGGAUGCGAGCGUUAUCCGGAUUUAUUGGGUUUAAAGGGUGCGCAGGCGGAGGCACAAGUCAGCGGUAAAAUCGCGGGGCUCAACCCCGCUCCGCCGUUGAAACUGUGUGCCUUGAGUGCGCGAAGGGUAGGCGGAAUGCGUGGUGUAGCGGUGAAGUGCAUAGAUAUCACGCAGAACUCCGAUCGCGAAGGCAGCCUACCGGCGCGCAACUGACGCUCAUGCACGAAAGCGUGGGUAUCGAACAGGAUUAGAUACCCUAGUAGUC
Molecule: ribosomal RNA, 460 nt
Filed under: uncultured bacterium
Lineage: Bacteria
Description: partial 16S ribosomal RNA
Rfam family: Bacterial small subunit ribosomal RNA
Source: RNAcentral